RNAcentral lists this ribosomal RNA (497 nucleotides) under uncultured bacterium. Its description in RNAcentral is "partial 16S ribosomal RNA". It matches the Rfam family "Bacterial small subunit ribosomal RNA", at positions 28 to 507 of the family's 1533-position model. The record is from RNAcentral.
GAUGAACGCUGGCGGCGUGCCUAAUACAUGCAAGUCGAGCGAACGGACGAGAAGCUUGCUUCUCUGAUGUUAGCGGCGGACGGGUGAGUAACACGUGGAUAACCUACCUAUAAGACUGGGAUAACUUCGGGAAACCGGAGCUAAUACCGGAUAAUAUUUUGAACCGCAUGGUUCAAAAGUGAAAGACGGUCUUGCUGUCACUUAUAGAUGGAUCUGCGCUGCAUUAGCUAGUUGGUAAGGUAACGGCUUACCAAGGCAACGAUGCAUAGCCGACCUGAGAGGGCGAUCGGCCACACUGGAACUGAGACACGGUCCAGACUCCUACGGGAGGCAGCAGUAGGGAAUCUUCCGCAAUGGGCGAAAGCCUGACGGAGCAACGCCGCGUGAGUGAUGAAGGUCUUCGGAUCGUAAAACUCUGUUAUUAGGGAAGAACAUAUGUGUAAGUAACUGUGCACAUCUUGACGGUACCUAAUCAGAAAGCCACGGCUAACUACGUG